CUCUAAACACAGACGAGUGGUUGAGAGUUUGUGAACUGUACAAAUAUGUAUUUAUCUAAAUGUUGUUAUUUUGUGCCGCUAAGAAUUGGACUAUUGGUUUUUGCAGUACUUAAAAUUCUAGCAAUUAUAACCCACUAUAUUUAUUUUGACGAGUCGGACUUUCCACCCGACACGGAGGAAGAUGAACGGGACUUCAUGAUGGUGUUGAUAAUUGGGGGUAUCAUGAAGCUGAUUCAGGUUCUGUUUACUGGGGCACUUAUCAUCGGGAUUAUCAAGAGGAAAUAUGACGUGGUCCACGUUUGCUACGUGUACUCUGCCGUUAUAUUGGCGUUGGAACUACUUAAAUGUAUCGUGUACAUUCCACUGGAGACGUACAGAUUGUAUGCGUACAUUCAAGAUGACGUCUGGUGGCCAUUCUUUUCUUUGAUGACAUCGUCACUACUCGUUAUUGGUGUUGAAUUCUACUUCGUGGUAUUGAUUCGGAGUCAUCUCUGCAGCAUGAAGGAAUGCGUCUCCAGUCAGGAGUCAUCAGCUGAAAGCCCAAAGAAACCUCGUCCAUAGAAUAUUAAUUUAGAACCUAUUUAUUUACUAGUUCACACCUAUGUAGGGUAGAGUUAAGGAGAAUCGUCUGUGUAUAUGAAAAAGUGUCCGUCAAAAUGUGUUAAAUUAGGGUGGCGCUACAGUCGCAUCUUAAAAGACCCGCCAAAUAUAAAAUAAUGCUAAUCACUCGUGCACGGUACCCUAUAAUGAUUCUAUAAGGUUAAAUUCAAUAUAUUAAUUCGUACAAAGUAAGUUGUUGAAAUUUUCAAUAAUUAACUACUUUAGUCCACAAUAAUAUUAUUAUUUUUUAAUUUUUAAUACGUUUACGAUUCACCAUACUUCAUACCAUACCCUGUACCUACAGCAGCGCCACUGUGGAAGCUUUAUGAACUGUUUUUUACUACGUCAUAAGCUUGACACUUUUCUCCCUUAAGAGAUGAUUCCACUUGCCUAUACCCUCCAUAAUCACACCGUGAUACAUAUUUCACAUUGUCAGCCAAAGUGCGAAUGACACAAAAUCCCUAUGCGUGUGUUUUAAAGAGUUGCGAAAAUAGACAUAGUAACAGUAAGAUUUCAGAAGGAGUAUAUUGGAGUAAGGAGUUCUUUCGGUAAGCAAUUAUUAAAAAAAAACGUUAUUUGUCAUAAUAUUAUAUUCGAAGAAAGAUUAAUUCGAACAACACGUUAUAUGUUCAUUAUGCACUAAUCGAAUCUAAAGCUUAACAGACAGGGAUAAGAUUGACUUGUGGUUGAACUAUUAUAAUAAAUUUGUAAUUGAUUAAUCAGAUGAAACAAGCCAGUUAUAUUAGAAUGUUUAAAUUAAAUUAUUAUUUGUUAAAAAAAAUUUUUCGUUACGUAAUUUAAGGAUUUAUUUGUUUAUUUAUAUAAAAUAAAUUAUUUGCUCAUGUAA
Leptidea sinapis is the source of this 1447-nucleotide long non-coding RNA. RefSeq lists it as uncharacterized. The record is from RefSeq and is a predicted model, not a curated record. The transcript is spliced from 4 exons. NCBI's taxonomy places the organism in Eukaryota, Metazoa, Arthropoda, Insecta, Lepidoptera, Pieridae.